AGAAUGGGAAACACUUCAUACCUCUCGUUCCCGCUUCCUCUUUUCCUACAAUUUUAGGUCUUCAGCUUGCUGUGCACUAACCACCUUAUGAGAAGAACAGUCUUCCCCUUAUUCCAAGGAUGCCUGUUAACAUUCAUUUCAUUUCUUGAGAACAAAGCCAUCGACAACAAAGUAAAAAUUUACUGAAAAAAAAUAUUGGCAUUACAAAAAUUAUAAGAGAGAUGCAUUGCAACCCUGCCACAGUGUUAUGAAACAUAUUGAGGGGAAAAAUCAGUGCAACAUUGUUCAGAAGUCGAAAGUAUUAGUAACACCAAAAAUGAAAU
RNAcentral lists this long non-coding RNA (323 nucleotides) under Trifolium pratense (red clover). RNAcentral's name for it is "long non-coding RNA (TPRA_LNC011245)". The record is from RNAcentral. Lineage: Eukaryota; Viridiplantae; Streptophyta; Magnoliopsida; Fabales; Fabaceae.